CGUCGGGGUAUGGUCACCACGGGUACGGAGCUCCUCCUCCAUAUGGGCAUGGGUCCCAUCACGGUGCCGGUGUGGGGGUGUUAGCCGGGCUGCGCUGCAGCCGGCGCAGCCGCUGCUUACGGGGCCCCACCAUUCUCUCGUCUCACGGGCACGCAUCGCACGGGCUUUCUUCCUACGGCCACCACGCGUGGCUACGGAUACGGCCGCCACGGCAAAUUCAAGCACGGGAAAUUCACCAAGAAGUACUUCGGGAGCCGCAGCAGGUUCGGAGGAACGCUCACAUUUGGUGGCAAGUUCAAGAAGUGGAAGUGAAAAAAGGAAAAAAAAAACUAUCAAUCUUGAUGGAUGAUUGCCUUGCUUUGCUUAUGAUUAUACUAUGUUUCAAUAAGGUCUAUAAAAUUCUUAUGGCCCCCUAAUUGUAUUAAGGGUCUAAUGCUUGGUGUUAUGACCAUCAGUUUGUGACCGUAUUAUGUAUGGCAUGUGUACUGGGUUACAUUCCCUUGUUUGUUCGUGUGGCUGCAGGUUUAUUUUGAACUGUGGAAUAUAAACCUGUACAUGUGUUCUA
This is a long non-coding RNA of Asparagus officinalis (garden asparagus), 565 nucleotides long. RefSeq lists it as uncharacterized. The transcript is spliced from 2 exons. The record is from RefSeq and is a predicted model, not a curated record. NCBI's taxonomy places the organism in Eukaryota, Viridiplantae, Streptophyta, Magnoliopsida, Asparagales, Asparagaceae.